Molecule: long non-coding RNA, 664 nt
Filed under: Prunus dulcis (almond)
Lineage: Eukaryota; Viridiplantae; Streptophyta; Magnoliopsida; Rosales; Rosaceae
Description: sRNA ncRNA
Source: RNAcentral
AAUGCUCAUAAAAUAUGCUUGAACAGUUGGAAAUUUGUAUCCCUAUAAAAACCAAGCUCCCCAUCUCCAUUAAAACCAGAACAAGCAGCCAUCAAAAUCUUUUGAUCGAUCGACCGCUGCUUUGGAGCUUCCAUUGAUCCGAUUCCUAGCACAUCAUCAUCAUGACGAGUGGAAUUGGAUGUGUGCAGUGUGGCACACGUAGCAACCCAUGUAGGUGCAAGGUGGUGGGGCCUACCUUAGGGUGUUUAUGCUUUCUUGGAGCUGCCAUUAUUGAAUGGCCUGUUGGGGCUUUUGUUUACUUGUUCAAGCACGUCAAGGGGAGAAGAAUCAUGGCUCAUCCGGCCACUGUUGUUUAUCCGAAGGUCUCUAAUGCCAUUCCAAUUUGAUGCAAAAAUUAAUCCAAAUUUUUUUUGGUUAAUUGGUUGCUUUUGCUUAAUCUUAGUUUGUAUGUGUAAGCUUUGUCUAUGUCUGCAGUUUUAAUCUGCUUAUCAUUAAUAACAACACAGUUGAUUUCCUAAUCUGUAUUGAAACUCAUCAUUUUGUUCUAAAUUCUAGCUCUCUAUCUGUUAUCUGUUUUCCAUCAUUGAUUACCAGCAAUAUAACAAUGUAUAAUAGUUAGUGUUUCGUUUUUUUUAAUACAAGCAAAAAUUAAUUUAAUUUUUCA